GCUCCAUCAUAAUGCAUUUUGUUCAGUUCCUCCACCGUCCCCUAAACCCCUCUGGGAUCCCCUUGUUUAGCAUCGGGCUGCAGCUCCUUUCUCUCUCAACACAACGUGGGUAUGAGAUACCUGCCAGAGUUUUGCCAAAUCCCCAUCCACUGUUUAGAAAUAUAUCAAAAUGUCAUUCUCAUUCAUCUCUUGCUUUAAGUUUCAGUUGGUUACAUUAUUUAAAAAACUUGUCAUGUAUGUUGUCAAUAGUGCAUGAGACAGAUAACAUGUGAAAAAUGAUAAUGUUCCUCUGCUUCCCCCCAGUGCUCCUAAUGGCAAUUGCAAGAUUUCAUUGCAGUUUCAACACCUGCUUGUACAUUUUUAUUAAACUGUCAAACCCAGCAACGUUGAUCAAAUAUGAUACAGUAAUCUGUAACUGUAUUGUGUAUCCCUUGCCUUAAAUGUUUAGCUGUGAAAUUAAUACGUUUUGACCCAGCCGACAUGCUGGGAAAGAAAACGCAGUUACAGAAUCCUUAUUCAUAUUUGAUCAGUACCUAGUUUGACAGUUUACUAGAGUUCACAAGCAGUGAUUUACACUGUGUGAAGCUCCUCGGUUUUGAUUGGCUGUUUCUCUUCAGUGCAGGAGAAUCUUCCAAAUGCUAUUUAGAGCGCUGGUGGGAGGCAGAGGAACAUGAGUUUUCACAUAUUAUCUGUUUCAUGCACUACUGUCAGUAUACAUUGACAGUUAAUAUGAAGAAACAUAUUUUCAAUAGAGUUACCAACUGUAGCUUCACGCAAGUCUUGUACGAGAUGAAAUCCUUGGAGUAUUAGAGUUGAGAUUCCUGGGAUUUGGCAGACUCUGAUGGUAAAUUAGCAGUCUCUUGCAGUAUUUCCCUCUGUGUAUUCUCCUCCUUUAAGCUGCUGCCCUCUCUGUCUCCCUCUUCCACACUGAGCAUUGCCCUAUAGUAUUCUCUCAAUUCACACUCCACACCAAACAUCAGUGUAUUCAUUGGAUACAACUAUUAUUAUAUGAGAAGGCAAACAGUGACAAAAGCUGAUAUACAAAGCAACACAAAACAGAGGCCAGUGUAACUGUCAAUAUGUCACACCAAUGUAUCAGGCUAUUUAAGAUUGUAUGUAGUGGUAUUGAACUGUGGCCAUGCAGUGAUGUGACAUACUUUUAGAGAGUGUGUUAGUGUGUUGGUAUUCUGUAUAUAUAAUUGUUUUUGAGCGUGCUAAUGCCAUGGUGUUUUUGACAGUUUUGUCCCUUUUCAUUAUCAAGCCAGGUCAAGUACUUCCUGUAGCAAAGUCCACUUAGAUUUGCUACUGUAAAGCGUUUUUUCCGUGUGACCAGUAUAGUCCUUAAUGCAAACCAAUGAUCUCUAAAUACUUUUUCAGUUGCACUAUAUCAAAAAUCUCGUGAGAGGAGCUUUAAGGCGUACUAAAUAGUUGUAUUUGGUUUAAAGCCAAAUGCAUGUGGUCCAUGGGAAUUUACUACAUUACUGGUUUUAGACCAAGGUUAAAUCAGCACACUUUCCCCCGAGAUUAGCUGUUACGCUGCGUCCGCUCCCCGCCUCCAGCAGCUCCCUGUGAUGACCCUGUCAAAGAUGUCCCUCUGACAAGCCUCCCUGUGUAACGUCCAGAUUAGGCGCUGGAGCCACUUUUGAUACCAAGACGGCAGUGGAAGGUCACUAGAGAAGUGCCCGCCACCACGUGAAGACAGUGUUAAUGUUGCACUUAUUACCUUUCUGUGUCAUUUAAAAUGUAUUGUGUAAAUGCAGUACCCAAACAGUCUCCUGACAGAGUCUGGCUUCCAUUUAUCUACAUGUCUUUUGGAACCUUUUAAAUAAUAAUGAUGUACUUUUCUUUCUGAAUGUAUUCUUUGUUCGUCAAUUUAUUGACCUGUGUUAAAGAAAUGCCAUAUGUUGGAAAGACUCUCCUCUCAUACUGUGUGAAGCUGAUUUGUGCCUUGAGAUUGUAAACAAGAGGGUAAUAAAUUAGGAAAAAGACUCGAUACAUAUUAAGUGAGCUGACAGUCGGACUUGUUCUAUCAGAAAGUACAUAUUUGAAGGCAAUAGCAAUACAGCGAAAUUGAGUCUGGUUGAUAUUGUUUAGAUUUAGAAAAACGAGGUGGCAUGUUAUUGUGCUGGUACUCACAUUUGCUUUUCUUACUUUGUUUUGUAUUAGUCAAAUUGUUUUCACUUUGACUUCUGUCUGUUUACUGAAAAACAUUUAUGAUCUGUUAAAGAUCUCAGUUUGGCCCUGUAAUGAAACAGAAUGCAAUGUCAUAUAAAACCAUUAGAUGGCACCAUUGAACACACAAUAACUGUACAUAGGUGACAUCAAUGUUGACUUAUUGGUAUCAUCUGCUCUGUUACUCUUUGUAUGUGUAUUUCUGAUUAUUACUAUGCUCCUUCUAAGUGCACAGAGUAUUAAUUAUUUCUGCCAGAUAAAAUAACCAGGAUGAGUUUGAUAUCAACCACUGCCAACAUUAGAUUUUAGGACUGCCACAAACACAAACAGCUGUACCUCAGUCACUUGUUUACUCUACUCAGACAUACCAAAAGGUUGGUGUUCUUUUUCAACACAAAGACUAAGAAAACUGUGUAUAGGCUCCUAAAAGGGUUAAGUUUCCCUUUCAGCACCACUGUCAGAUGAUGAGUUGAUCUCAUUUUCUAGCAUUUGACUUUUAAAUGACUAAGUGACUUAAACUUGUUGAUCAAUCUUGAAUCCCUGUGUUAAAGCCAUCUAGAGAUUUUUCAACAUCCUUAUUAAUGUAUCAUAUCAGAAUUGUUAUGAUUUCGCUCACUUUCAGUCAUUUAUCACACAGUGGAUUUAUUUCAUAUUUGAGCCAAAACCUUACACCAUAUUCUGUGUUGCUGUAGUAUAAUUGCAUGCUGCAGGAUCUCAGGUUAAAAAGUCUGGUUUCUUUCAGAUAUAUUCAAUUUGUGCAUUUUUAUUAAAAGCCAUAUUUCUCUACCAGAUGAUAAGGUACUGGUGCUGAAGAUGUCAACUUUUAAAUUUGCUCAAAACUACCAUCUAGAAAAAUUAGAUGUUAACUGUGUAGUAGGUAAUUCUCUGUGUAGUAAAGCCAUGUUGUGAAUAAUACAGUGAAUGUGCUGUUAAUUUAUUCUUUACAAAACAACUUAAAAAAUGAUUAUGUCUGUGAAAGAACACAUGUGAUGUGUUACUGUUGUUCAUUAGGCAAAUGAAUAAAUAAAAUGACACCAGUUCCAACUGUG
This is a long non-coding RNA of Gymnodraco acuticeps, 3221 nucleotides long. RefSeq lists it as uncharacterized. The transcript is spliced from 2 exons. The record is from RefSeq and is a predicted model, not a curated record. Lineage: Eukaryota; Metazoa; Chordata; Actinopteri; Perciformes; Bathydraconidae.